GGUAGAUAGCUUGCUAUUUACCAAGUGAGUCGCGAACGGGUGAGUAACGCGUAGGUAACCUACCUCUUAGCGGGGGAUAACUAUUGGAAACGAUAGCUAAUACCGCAUAAGAGUUGAAAUCGCAUGAUUUCGACUUAAAAGAUGCAACUGCAUCACUAAGAGAUGGACCUGCGUUGUAUUAGCUAGUAGGUGAGGUAACGGCUCACCUAGGCCACGAUACAUAGCCGACCUGAGAGGGUGAUCGGCCACACUGGGACUGAGACACGGCCCAGACUCCUACGGGAGGCAGCAGUAGGGAAUCUUCGGCAAUGGGGGGCAACCCCUGACCGAGCAACGCCCGCGUGAGUGAAGGAAGGUUUUUCGGGAUCGUAAAAGCUCUGUUGGUAAGAAGAAAGAACGGAAGUGUGUGGAGAGUGGGAAAGUCCACACCUGUGACCGGUAAUCUUUACCCAGAAAGGGGACGGGCUACUUACGUUGCCCAGCAGGCCGCGGGUAAAUACGUAGGUCCCCGAGCGUUGUCCGGGAUUUAUUGGGCGUAAAAGCGAGCGCAGGCGGUUUGAUAAGUCUGAAGUUAAAGGCUGUGGCUCAACCAUAGUUCGCUUUGGAAACUGUCAAACUUGAGUGCAGAAGGGGAGAGUGGAAUUCCAUGUGUAGCGGUGAAAUGCGUAGAUAUAUGGAGGAACACCAGUGGCGAAAGCGGCUCUCUGGUCUGUAACUGACGCUGAGGCUCGAAAGCGUGGGGAGCAAACAGGAUUAGAUACCCUGGUAGUCCACGCCGUAAACGAUGAGUGCUAGGUGUUAGGCCCUUUCCGGGGCUUAGUGCCGCAGCU
Molecule: ribosomal RNA, 830 nt
Filed under: uncultured bacterium
Lineage: Bacteria
Description: SSU rRNA
Rfam family: Bacterial small subunit ribosomal RNA
Source: RNAcentral